This 1654-nucleotide ribosomal RNA is filed under the name Escherichia coli. Its description in RNAcentral is "partial 23S ribosomal RNA". It matches the Rfam family "Bacterial large subunit ribosomal RNA", at positions 588 to 2228 of the family's 2925-position model. The record is from RNAcentral. Lineage: Bacteria; Pseudomonadati; Pseudomonadota; Gammaproteobacteria; Enterobacterales; Enterobacteriaceae.
GGCGUGUGACUGCGUACCUUUUGUAUAAUGGGUCAGCGACUUAUAUUCUGUAGCAAGGUUAACCGAAUAGGGGAGCCGAAGGGAAACCGAGUCUUAACUGGGCGUUAAGUUGCAGGGUAUAGACCCGAAACCCGGUGAUCUAGCCAUGGGCAGGUUGAAGGUUGGGUAACACUAACUGGAGGACCGAACCGACUAAUGUUGAAAAAUUAGCGGAUGACUUGUGGCUGGGGGUGAAAGGCCAAUCAAACCGGGAGAUAGCUGGUUCUCCCCGAAAGCUAUUUAGGUAGCGCCUCGUGAAUUCAUCUCCGGGGGUAGAGCACUGUUUCGGCAAGGGGGUCAUCCCGACUUACCAACCCGAUGCAAACUGCGAAUACCGGAGAAUGUUAUCACGGGAGACACACGGCGGGUGCUAACGUCCGUCGUGAAGAGGGAAACAACCCAGACCGCCAGCUAAGGUCCCAAAGUCAUGGUUAAGUGGGAAACGAUGUGGGAAGGCCCAGACAGCCAGGAUGUUGGCUUAGAAGCAGCCAUCAUUUAAAGAAAGCGUAAUAGCUCACUGGUCGAGUCGGCCUGCGCGGAAGAUGUAACGGGGCUAAACCAUGCACCGAAGCUGCGGCAGCGACACUGUGUGUUGUUGGGUAGGGGAGCGUUCUGUAAGCCUGUGAAGGUGUACUGUGAGGUAUGCUGGAGGUAUCAGAAGUGCGAAUGCUGACAUAAGUAACGAUAAAGCGGGUGAAAAGCCCGCUCGCCGGAAGACCAAGGGUUCCUGUCCAACGUUAAUCGGGGCAGGGUGAGUCGACCCCUAAGGCGAGGCCGAAAGGCGUAGUCGAUGGGAAACAGGUUAAUAUUCCUGUACUUGGUGUUACUGCGAAGGGGGGACGGAGAAGGCUAUGUUGGCCGGGCGACGGUUGUCCCGGUUUAAGCGUGUAGGCUGGUUUUCCAGGCAAAUCCGGAAAAUCAAGGCUGAGGCGUGAUGACGAGGCACUACGGUGCUGAAGCAACAAAUGCCCUGCUUCCAGGAAAAGCCUCUAAGCAUCAGGUAACAUCAAAUCGUACCCCAAACCGACACAGGUGGUCAGGUAGAGAAUACCAAGGCGCUUGAGAGAACUCGGGUGAAGGAACUAGGCAAAAUGGUGCCGUAACUUCGGGAGAAGGCACGCUGAUAUGUAGGUGAAGCGACUUGCUCGUGGAGCUGAAAUCAGUCGAAGAUACCAGCUGGCUGCAACUGUUUAUUAAAAACACAGCACUGUGCAAACACGAAAGUGGACGUAUACGGUGUGACGCCUGCCCGGUGCCGGAAGGUUAAUUGAUGGGGUUAGCGCAAGCGAAGCUCUUGAUCGAAGCCCCGGUAAACGGCGGCCGUAACUAUAACGGUCCUAAGGUAGCGAAAUUCCUUGUCGGGUAAGUUCCGACCUGCACGAAUGGCGUAAUGAUGGCCAGGCUGUCUCCACCCGAGACUCAGUGAAAUUGAACUCGCUGUGAAGAUGCAGUGUACCCGCGGCAAGACGGAAAGACCCCGUGAACCUUUACUAUAGCUUGACACUGAACAUUGAGCCUUGAUGUGUAGGAUAGGUGGGAGGCUUUGAAGUGUGGACGCCAGUCUGCAUGGAGCCGACCUUGAAAUACCACCCUUUAAUGUUUGAUGUUCUAACGU